CCUUUUUGACAACAUCAAUUAAGAUCUUAAAAAAUUUUUAAAGAAAAAUAAAAAAGACUCUCCCUCACUAUAGAAAUCAAAAAGGAUAUUUCAAUUUGCUCAUCUAGAAGAUAUUAUCAUUCAUAAUAUUCCAUAGCACAUAUAUGAGGCAUCUUUCAUAUCACAUAAUUAAGAUAUUUUAAUUGAUGCCAUUCAUAAAAAUUAAUCCAAAUGACAUUCAUAGAAGUUAAAAGUAUAUAUAUAUAUCCAAAAUAUGACUGAAGAGUUAUCAGAUACAUAAGUGUCACAAUAUAUAAGAGUCAAGUCAAAAUACAUAGGCC
Molecule: long non-coding RNA, 320 nt
Filed under: Elaeis guineensis (African oil palm)
Lineage: Eukaryota; Viridiplantae; Streptophyta; Magnoliopsida; Arecales; Arecaceae
Description: long non-coding RNA (EGUI_LNC031769)
Source: RNAcentral